Molecule: ribosomal RNA, 478 nt
Filed under: uncultured bacterium
Lineage: Bacteria
Description: partial 16S ribosomal RNA
Rfam family: Bacterial small subunit ribosomal RNA
Source: RNAcentral
GAUGAACGCUAGCGGGAGGCCUAACACAUGCAAGCCGAGCGGUAUUGUUUCUUCGGAACUGAGAGAGCGGCGUACGGGUGCGUAACACGUGUGCAACCUGCCUUUAUCUGGGGGAUAGCCUUUCGAAAGGAAGAUUAAUACUCCAUAAUAUAUUGAACGGCAUCGUUUAAUAUUGAAAGCUCCGGCGGAUAGAGAUGGGCACGCGCAAGAUUAGCUAGUUGGUGAGGUAACGCUCACCAAGGCGAUGAUCUUUAGGGGGCCUGAGAGGGUGAUCCCCCACACUGGUACUGAGACACGGACCAGACUCCUACGGGAGGCAGCAGUGAGGAAUAUUGGUCAAUGGGUGCAAGCCUGAACCAGCCAUCCCGCGUGAAGGACGACUGCCCUAUGGGUUGUAAACUUCUUUUGUAUAGGGAUAAACCUACCCUCGAGAGGGUAGCUGAAGGUACUAUACGAAUAAGCACCGGCUAACUCCGUG